CGGGACGGGUGGGUAACGCGUGGAUAACCUGCCUCACACUGGGGGAUAACAGUUAGAAAUGGCUGCUAAUACCGCAUAAGCGCACAGUACCGCAUGGUACGGUGUGAAAAACCCAGGUGGUGUGAGAUGGAUCCGCGUCUGAUUAGCCAGUUGGCGGGGUAACGGCCCACCAAAGCGACGAUCAGUAGCCGACCUGAGAGGGUGACCGGCCACAUUGGGACUGAGACACGGCCCAA
This 236-nucleotide ribosomal RNA is filed under the name uncultured bacterium. RNAcentral describes it as "partial 16S ribosomal RNA". It matches the Rfam family "Bacterial small subunit ribosomal RNA", at positions 100 to 334 of the family's 1533-position model. The record is from RNAcentral.